This 400-nucleotide ribosomal RNA is filed under the name uncultured bacterium. Its description in RNAcentral is "bacterial SSU rRNA". It matches the Rfam family "Bacterial small subunit ribosomal RNA", at positions 356 to 773 of the family's 1533-position model. The record is from RNAcentral.
GGGGAAUAUUGCACAAUGGGGGAAACCCUGAUGCAGCAACGCCGCGUGAGUGAUGACGGUCUUCGGAUUGUAAAGCUCUGUCUUCAGGGACGAUAAUGACGGUACCUAAGGAGGAAGCCACGGCUAACUACGUGCCAGCAGCCGCGGUAAUACGUAGGUGGCAAGCGUUGUCCGGAUUUACUGGGCGUAAAGGGAGCGUAGGUGGAUAUUUAAGUGGGAUGUGAAAUACCUGGGCUUAACUUGGGUGCUGCAUUCCAAACUGGGUGUCUAGAGUGUUGGAGAGGAAAGUGGAAUUCCUAGUGUAGCGGUGAAAUGCGUAGAGAUUAGGAAGAACACCAGUGGCGAAGGCGGCCUACUGGGCACCAACUGACGCUGAGGCUCGAAAGUAUGGGUAGCAAAC